Molecule: long non-coding RNA, 25309 nt
Filed under: Triticum aestivum (bread wheat)
Lineage: Eukaryota; Viridiplantae; Streptophyta; Magnoliopsida; Poales; Poaceae
Description: long non-coding RNA (TAES_LNC002044)
Source: RNAcentral
UUUCUUUGCCUCGUUGAACUUGUAAACAUAUUGGAGAAAGUUUUGGAUGCUCUCAAACCAAUAGGGACUGUAUAUUCAUUUUGAUUCAUUUAUAGGUUGCAUAAAAAAUGAACCAACAUGCCACUCCCAUGUAUGGACAAGAAAAAAAACUAGAUUGACACAUGGUAGCACUACUAGAAAGUCAUUGAUAUUUUUUUAGGCAAGCAACAAAGGUCAAUCGCCAACCUAAAAUAUAUAUUUGAACUUCAAAGAAGGUUUUGUACAAGUACAUCAGAAUCCCUGCAGGACAUAGUGGGGUAGACAAUUACAAACACAAGGACGUGCCCCAUUGACAUUUGCAACAGCUCUAAAAUUUGGGGGAAAAUAUUAAUGUACUAGGAGAUCAUUUUAUUUCAAUGUAAGAGAGAGGAUCAACUAAGUAUGAUGUGGUCCCACCUUGCAGUUGCAUGUUCCACAACUAACGUUGGAAAACCAUUAAUAAAUCCAUUCUCCACGUAUUCCUAGCUACUUGAUUUAUCUUCGUUGUGUUGGAUAAGAAUUACCCCUUUUUGAGGACUGGGUAAGAAUUAACUCCUCUUCAAGUAACAUGAAUACUCCCUCCGUCCGGUAAAGAGUGUGCAUCUAGAAAUUUUAUGACAAAUUAUGGAGUUGAGUAAAAAAUGCAUUGAAAAGGUGUAAGCCACCAUCUCUCUCCUCUUUAACUAUCCAACCCCCAAUGAGCUAAGUGCAUGUAGAAAUUAAGAAGACCAUGUGUAGAUUGCUAUUGGUCUUGAUUACCGUAUGAUGAGAGAGAAGUAUUUUUUUCUACUUUAAAGUACAUUGAAGAGAUAGAAGUACACUCUUUUGUGGACAAAUUUUGAAGCUAGAUGUACACUCUUCACCGGACGAAGGGAGUAUGCUCCAAUAUUCUAGUACUACAUGUAAUAAAGAGUAUUUGUUAAUAAAUUAUUAAAUUUGAUGUUGUUUUUAUGUUUUUCUUAUGAUACUACUAAUGACAAAUCUAGGGAGGGUUCUCGAAACAACCCNNNNNNNNNNNNNNNNNNNNNNNNNNNNNNNNNNNNNNNNNNNNNNNNNNNNNNNNNNNNNNNNNNNNNNNNNNNNNNNNNNNNNNNNNNNNNNNNNNNNNNNNNNNNNNNNNNNNNNNNNNNNNNNNNNNNNNNNNNNNNNNNNNNNNNNNNNNNNNNNNNNNNNNNNNNNNNNNNNNNNNNNNNNNNNNNNNNNNNNNNCCAAUUGGUACAUUUUCUCAUAGAAAAAAUUGUCAAAUGUCAUUCCCUAUUACCCACUCUAUUAUGAGAUUGGGAUUCAUUAGGGCUUCCUCCAAUCUCUUAACUGAUCACUGCAUAAAUUUUCAUUGCUUUAUUGGGAGGGCCGGGACACUUUUUUGCUUUUGGAGAUUGGGGCCUGGACACUUAAUCACAUAUCCAACACAUGCAUCCACUGCAGAAAGAUAGCUAAGCUAGAUACUCCCUCUAGUUCACAAAAGAUGGCGUUUUGGAGACUCAUAAGGUCUCUAAAAAUGUAACUUUGACCGUUCUUUUCUACUUAUCAUAUAUGUAUAAUAAUAAAAUUAUCAGAAAAAUACCUGUUAACACAAAUUUGUGCAUAUGAUUUUUCAAGUUUGCCAAGGGUGUUGAGAAGAGGACAGACCCCCUACCCCUACACUCAGUUUUGAAGAGACACUAAUUUGUUAGUUAUGUUUCUACAUUAAAUAUACUUAUGAAUAAUUCGUCCACUUGAAACCCAAUAACAGUGCACGAUUUCCCUCUCUUUCCCCUUCUAUGGCCAAAUGCUGCCCCACCACUGCCCUAGUCGCCUUUCUUUAUCCAUAUCAAUCAAUUAAACAUGUGCAUAGCCCUGCUGAAGUCGGGUUUCGGGCCGAGCUUCGUAAUUCUAUCCCAAAAAUGUCAAGCUCGGGGCCAAUCUAGCCUACCCCAAAUCCAAGAUAAAUACAUUUUCUGCAUUUAAAAUAUUAAUAAAAAAACUUUUUUAAUAUAGAAGUUAAGGAUUAUAUCAAUUUUACAAAGCACUCUGCUCCUGGGCUUUUAGGCUUCGGGGCCAGUCUGGCUGGCCUGGGCAUGCCCGGGUUUACGUCAACUUGUUCGUUAGUCCCUCCAUUUCAUAUUACUUCACAUAUUAGUUUUAUCUUAAAUCAAACUUUGUGAAUUUUGACCGAAUUAAUAGAAAAAAUAUCAAUAUGAACCCUAUUAGUAUAUUGUUUUGUCAUGGUUGAUGUUAUGUUAUCACCUAUCCCAUCCCAUGAUGUAGGUAGUAGUUAAUUAGACUUCAAACCAUUGCAUGGGUUCAUGAUAAUUGACAUGUUACUUUGUCGCGUUCAACCCGCAAACAGACAAGAGAAGUUUUAAGGCGCUUACACACUGGAGUAGUAGCAUGGACCGUUCAUAUUGAUUCAUUUCUAGACCCCGUCAAAAUUGAAAGAAGAAGCAGCCCUCCUGUUACGAUCUGGUCCCGGUUAGCAUUGAACCUUGGAAAGGCUUGAGGCUCAUUAACCAACCACCAAUUCUCGCCCAUCGUACCAAUGCAUACGGUAAGAAGUUCUCUGUAAAUUUGUACUGUACUCCUGCGUGAUAUAUCCUUCCCAUGUUCAUCAGUACGUACUUGUUGACCUACUACUUGACGAUCCACUCAGGAUUGUGGCAAUAUAAUGCACUGACGUGUCCACCUACUUCCAUGGAUGGAUGAUUGAGCAAACUUCUCCCAUCAGGAAGCAUGUGUCUUUGAUUCGUGCUGUUUGCCAAGGACAAGCUAGCUUCUGCAUUAUACAUUUAUACUUGUGUUGGUGAAAAUUCAUAAAUAACCUGUCUUGGUGAAUCUUUGGAGUAUUUUCCUGAUGUUCAGUUGUACUUGUUGACCUACUGAACGGCUCACUAGUGUUGUAGUAUUAGUCCUUGUAUUAUUAUUUAGCUGACCAAACACCUCCCAUCAAACUGUUCUGUGCUUCGCACUGUUUGUCAAGGACAGGAUGGAAAUUAAUAAAUACCCUGUGUUCGUGAAUCUUGAAACUGCUCCUACUCUAUUUUUUCCCCUCUAAUAUUCAGUACUACUACCUUCAUUCUAAAAUAUUAAGAUGUUUUGAUAGGCUACUUUAGCCUAACAAAAUGUCAUAUAGUAUUUUAGAACGGAGGUAGUACUUGUUGACCUACUGGAGCUGCACAAUUCGCUCUGAGAGAGUGAGCUUCAUCUGUACUCUCUAUUAGGAUUUCACCCACAGGAUCAACCACAACAAAAUCGACUAACACGAGCAUAAAGAAUUGAUAGCCAGGGCCUUUGUCGCGCUCUCUAUUUGUUUCUCUUUAUUUCUUUUCAACUUCCGGUGGCGCAAACCCGCAGCCCUAUACCUGUGUAGAAAUAUACACGUCCGGCCAGAGCAACACAAGCAAACAUGGCUCCAACUCCAACUCUACUGGGACGCUCGCGUAGACAACUAGGAGACUGGCUCAAAACUCACGCAUACAUGCAGCAUGUAGUACUGACACACGUGCAAGCACAACACGCACAUACGUGCAGACCAAUCUAACUAGACUAUUAUUCUAACAGUCUCCUUCUAAUCUUAGCUUAUCAUCUCUUUGUUGAUGAUUCGCCCCUUAUCAACUCAUAUGUUCACACCACGAUAAAUUAAAUUGCUGGUUAGAUUGUUUGCAAUUAACUCUUCCCUAUUUUAACUUGCAGAAACCAUCUCAAAUAUGACUUGACUACCCAGCCUCGUUAGAACUUGUGGAAUACACCAUUCACCCUAGCAAGAUACAUAGCCGGCUCUUUGUGGAUCAUAUCACCUUGUGGAUUACACCAUCCCCUUCAGCCUCAUGUAGUGACAUGGCCCCGUUGAAGAGACUCACAUUCACUAGUUUACUGUCCUCACAUAGUUGAACUUGAUCCUUUCAUCGAGAUACAUACCGACUUGGGCACGCUUCAUCAUCUUCAACGUAUCCUUAGAGAGACAUUAUUUGUACAUGACGACUACUCAUAGACGACAACCGAGACGUGCUAACUCGCAUGACUCCUUGGCUCCUUCACUCAUCUAACUCCCGCGGACGAUGCUCUUGACGACUUUCUGGCACCGCGCCUCGACACCACUGCUCCUGUCAACAAUCUAUUUCCACCAUCUUACCAAUGACUGCUCACUGCCUUCCUCCUUGCCGCUCCGCUGAACAACGAUCGCCUGAUCCCCCUCAUCGUUGCACCACCCAGCGACUAUAUCGCCCGCCUGAGGCGCUAGUAAAGGGUCGCCUCCCCGGGCAAGUGCAGCCUCAAAUCUUGAAUGUUACUCUAAUACCAAUCAUUAGUGUCCUAGGCCUAGCUCCCAACCUCCGGCCUACGUUCGAGCAUUUUCGGUGUGCAUUGGACACACCAUGAUAAGCACAGAGCCCACCACAUUCCAAAAGCCUAGGCUAAAUAGGGAGUGACACUCUUUGUUAUAAGCUGGUCCUAGCCUCCAGUAAUCAAGGUGGGGCUAAAGUCACUAGUAACGCCCAACGGCUAGUGGCCUAACAUCCCAUCCUCUGGGAAGCCCCCCGGUUGGGCAUGGCGCCCCUAACUCUGAUAGCAGUUGUUAGGAUUUCACCCUCAAGAUCAAUUACAUCAAAACUGAUAAAGACGCACGCACAAAGAACUUGUAGCCAAGUGCCUUUGUCUCUUUUCAACUUCUGGUGGUACAAACUCGCGGCCUUAUGCCCCUAUGUAUAAAUACACAUCCGGCCAGAAGCAACACAACCAAACACGGCUCCAACUCCAACUCCACUAGGACGAUCACGUAGACAAGUAGGAGACUAACUCAAAACUCACGCGGACAUGCAGCAUGUGUAGAAGUAGUGUGACACAUGUAAAAUCACAACACGCAUAUACGUGCACACCAAUCUAACUAGACUAUCCAAGUUUAGGGCUUCUUCAACACGGACCUUCAAACCGUCCACAUACGUCCAGAUCGUGCUGUCCGACCGUGGAAGCCAUCCAACAUGAACAUGUAUCGAUCUGCGGGACGGUUCAGACGCAUUUUCUCCUGCAAACUGAAGACAAACGUAGGGAGGGGGGCUUUGCCGGAGUCCGGUCCGCAAACAUGUAGGACUCCGACAGGCCCGGCCCACCCAAAAUCCUUCUCGGACCCCGUGCCUCCAUCCCUAACAUUUUCUCUCUGUCCUUGUUUCUCUCUUGCCUUCGUUGCCGCUCCGCCACCCCGACAGCCAUCUAUCGGAACUCUACAUCUCCGUCACCUCCAGCGUUUCAGCCGGGCUCCACCCCACUUUUCCUACGUCGCCGUUCAACCCAUCUCCUCCAACCGCCCCGGCAGUUACCAUCCGCUACUGCUGUACUCACCAUGCCUGACAACUGUUCGAUGAAUUACCGGAGCUAACAAGAAAGUUGUUCCUUCUUCUUCCAAGCAAUGGAUUCCGAUUUGGAGUACAUAUACGAGCUCUAUGUUGAGUCGUUCGAUGGCUCGUCCAACGAGGACGACUACACGGAUGAGACGGCGAUGAUGUAGGCGGCCCUUGAAGGCACGGAGCGUGCAGAGGAGCAUAUUCUAAAUUUUAAGGGAUCGAUCAGGGGUCAUCGAGUGCUCAAUUGCAAUAGGGCGUGCGGCCAUUUGACACUGAUGGCCGACUACUUUUCCCCCAAUGCACUCUUCUUUGACCAUUUUCGCCGGCGUUUUCAGAUGUGCAAGACUAUUUACGAUCGUUUGUACCAUGGCGUCCGGUCCUAUGAUAACUACUUCAUCCUAAAGAAGGACGUUAUGGGAACGAUUGUGUUCUCUGGUUGUGUUACCAGAAUGACUCCUUGGCUCCUUCACUCAUCUAACUCCCGCGGACGAUGCUCUUGACGACUUUCUGGCACCGCGCCUCGACACCACUGCUCCUGUCAACAAUCUAUUUCCACCAUCUUACCAAUGACUGCUCACUGCCUUCCUCCUUGCCGCUCCGCUGAACAACGAUCGCCUGAUCCCCCUCAUCGUUGCACCACCCAGCGACUAUAUCGCCCGCCUGAGGCGCUAGUAAAGGGUCGCCUCCCCGGGCAAGUGCAGCCUCAAAUCUUGAACGUUACUCUAAUACCAAUCAUUAGUGUCCUAGGCCUAGCUCCCAACCUCCGGCCUACGUUCGAGCAUUUUCGGUGUGCAUUGGACACACCAUGAUAAGCACAGAGCCCACCACAUUCCAAAAGCCUAGGCUAAAUAGGGAGUGACACUCUUUGUUAUAAGCUGGUCCUAGCCUCCAGUAAUCAAGGUGGGACUAAAGUCACUAGUAACGCCCAACGGCUAGUGGCCUAACAUCCCAUCCUCUGGGAAGCCCCCCGGAUGGGCAUGGCGCCCCUAACUCUGAUAGCAGUUGUUAGGAUUUCACCCUCAAGAUCGAUUACAUCAAAACUAAUAAAGACGCACGCACAAAGAACUUGUAGCCAAGUGCCUUUGUCUCUUUUCAACUUCUGGUGGUACAAACUCGCGGCCUUAUGCCCCUAUGUAUAAAUACACAUCCGGCCAGAAGCAACACAACCAAACACGGCUCCAACUCCAACUCCACUAGGACGAUCACGUAGACAAGUACGAGACUAACUCAAAACUCACGCGGACAUGCAGCAUGUGUAGAAGUAGUGUGACACAUGUAAAAUCACAACACGCAUAUACGUGCACACCAAUCUAACUAGACUGUCCAAGUUUAGGGCUUCUUCAAGACGGACCCUCAAACCGUCCACAUACAUCCAGAUCGUGCUGUCCGAUCGUGUAAGCCAUCCAACAUGCACAUGUAUCGAUCUGCGGGACGGUUCAGACGCAUUUUCUCCUGCAAACUGAAGACAAACGUAGGGAGGGGGGCUUUGCCGGAGUCCGGUCCGCAAACAUGUAGGACUCCGACAGGCCCGGCCCACCCAAAAUCCUUCUCGGACCCCGUGCCUCCAUCCUUAACAUUUUCUCUCUGUCCUUGUUUCUCUCUUGCCUUCGUUGCCGCUCCGCCACCCCGACAGCCAUCUAUCGGAACUCUACAUCUCCGUCACCUCCAGCGUUUCAGCCGGGCUCCACCCCACUUUUCCUACGUCGCCGUUCAACCCAUCUCCUCCAACCGCCCCGGCAGUUACCAUCCGCUACUGUUGUACUCACCAUGCCUGACAACUGUUCGAUGAAUUACCGGAGCUAACAAGAAAGUUGUUCCUUCUUCUUCCAAGCAAUGGAUUCCGAUUUGGAGUACAUAUACGAGCUCUAUGUUGAGUCGUUCGGUGGCUCGUCCAACGAGGACGACUACACGGAUGAGACGGUGAUGAUGUAGGCGGCCCUUGAAGGCACGGAGCGUGCAGAGGAGCAUAUUCUAAAUUUUAAGGGAUCGAUCAGGGGUCAUCGAGUGCUCAAUCGCAAUAGGGCGUGCGGUCAUUUGACACUGAUGGCCGACUACUUUUCCCCCAAUGCACUCUUCUCUGACCAUUUUCGCCGGCGUUUUCAGAUGCGCAAGACUAUUUACGAUCGUUUGUACCAUGGCGUCCGGUCCUACGAUGACUACUUCAUCCUAAAAAAGGACGUUAUGGGAACGAUUGUGUUCUCUGGUUGUGUUACCAAAAUGACUCCUUGGCUCCUUCACUCAUCUAACUCCCGCGGACGAUGCUCUUGACGACUUUCUGGCACCGCGCCUCGACACCACUGCUCCUGUCAACAAUCUAUUUCCACCAUCUUACCAAUGACUGCUCACUGCCUUCCUCCUUGCCGCUCCGCUGAACAACGAUCGCCUGAUCCCCCUCAUCGUUGCACCACCCAGCGACUAUAUCGCCCGCCUGAGGCGCUAGUAAAGGGUCGCCUCCCCGGGCAAGUGCAGCCUCAAAUCUUGAACGUUACUCUAGUACCAAUCAUUAGUGUCCUAGGCCUAGCUCCCAACCUCCGGCCUACGUUCGAGCAUUUUCGGUGUGCAUUGGACACACCAUGAUAAGCACAGAGCCCACCACAUUCCAAAAGCCUAGGCUAAAUAGGGAGUGACACUCUUUGUUAUAAGCUGGUCCUAGCCUCCAGUAAUCAAGGUGGGACUAAAGUCACUAGUAACGCCCAACGGCUAGUGGCCUAACAUCCCAUCCUCUGGGAAGCCCCCCGGGUGGGCAUGGCGCCCCUAACUCUGAUAGCAGUUGUUAGGAUUUCACCCUCAAGAUCGAUUACAUCAAAACUGAUAAAGACGCACGCACAAAGAACUUGUAGCCAAGUGCCUUUGUCUUUUUUCAACUUCUGGUGGUACAAACUCGCGGCCUUAUGCCCCUAUGUAUAAAUACACAUCCGGCCAGAAGCAACACAACCAAACACGGCUCCAACUCCAACUCCACUAGGACGAUCACGUAGACAAGUACGAGACUAACUCAAAAGUCACGCGGACAUGCAGCAUGUGUAGAAGUAGUGUGACACAUGUAAAAUCACAACACGCAUAUACGUGCACACCAGUCUAACUAGACUAUCCAAGUUUAGGGCUUCUUCAAGACGGACCCUCAAACCGUCCACAUACGUUCAGAUCGUGCUGUCCGACCGUGGAAGCCAUUCAACAUGAACAUGUAUCGAUCUGCGGGACGGUUCAGACGCAUUUUCUCCUGCAAACUGAAGACAAACGUAAGGAGGGGGGCUUUGCCGGAGUCCGGUCCGCAAACAUGUAGGACUCCGACAGGCCCGGCCCACCCAAAAUCCUUCUCGGACCCCGUGCCUCCAUCCUUAACAUUUUCUCUCUGUCCUUGUUUCUCUCUUGCCUUCGUUGCCGCUCCGCCACCCCGACAGCCAUCUAUCGGAACUCUACAUCUCCGUCACCUCCAGCGUUUCAGCCGGGCUCCACCCCACUUUUCCUACGUCACCGUUCAACCCAUCUCCUCCAACCGCCCCGGCAGUUACCAUCCGCUACUGCUGUACUCACCAUGCCUGACAACUGUUCGAUGAAUUACCGGAGCUAACAAGAAAGUUGUUCCUUCUUCUUCCAAGCAAUGGAUUCCGAUUUGGAGUACAUAUACGAGCUCUAUGUUGAGUCGUUCGAUGGCUCGUCCAACGAGGACGACUACACGGAUGAGACGGCGAUGAUGUAGGCGGCCCUUGAAGGCACGGAGCGUGCAGAGGAGCAUAUUCUAAAUUUUAAGGGAUCGAUCAGGGGUCAUCGAGUGCUCAAUCGCAAUAGGGCGUGCGGCCAUUUGACACUGAUGGCCGACUACUUUUCCCCCAAUGCACUCUUCUCUGACCAUUUUCGCCGGCGUUUUCAGAUGCGCAAGACUAUUUACGAUCGUUUGUACCAUGGCGUCCGGUCCUAUGAUGACUACUUCAUCCUAAAGAAGGACGUUAUGGGAACGAUUGUGUUCUCUGGUUACCAGAAGUGCACGGCCGCACUCCGAUGCUUGCAUGUGGCACAGACACUGAAUCGUGGGACGAGUACCUAUGGAUGUUUGAGAGCACAUGCGCAGAUGCCAUGGUCAGGUUUGCAACUGCCAUGGUCAAGGUGUUUGGACCUCAGUACCUGAGAGAACCAACUGUGGCAGACAUCGAGAUGCUCUUGGCAAUUUCAGAAGCAAGAGGAUGGCCAGGUUUGCUUGGAUCCAUUGACUGCAUGCAUUGGGAACGGAAGAACUGCUCGAAGGCUUUACAAGGGCAAUAUCAGGGUCAUGUGAAAAAGCUCACAAUCAUUCUUGAAGCAGUUGCAUCACAUGAUCUAUGAAUUUGGCAUGCUUUCUUUGGCAUGCCCGGGUCUCACAAUGACAUCAAUGUGUUGCAGCGAUCACCCUUGUUUGUGAGGUUGGUUGAAGGAAAAGCUCCUCGCUGCCACUAUACUGUUAAUGGAUAUGAGUACAACAUGGGCUACUAUCUGGUUGACGGUAUCUAUCCUCCAUGGGCUACCUUUGUCAGCACCGUCUGUAAUCUAGUUAGCCAGAAAAAAUCUCACUUUGCCCAAAGACAAGAAACAGCUAGAAAGGAUGUAGAGAGGGCAUUUGGAGUUCUGCAAGCCCUUUUUGCAGUUGUUCAUGGACCUGCUAAACAAUGGGAUCCGGUGACCUUGUGGGAGGUGAUCACUUGUUGUGUGGUCAUGCACAAUAUGAUCGUCGAGGAUGAGGGUGAGGAUGCCGCUGCAGUUAUAGAAUUUGAGAAUAUGGGUGAUCCUAUCGAACUUCCAGACCAUAAUCCAGCCACAUUUGAAGAGUUUAUUCAAAUGCAUCAACAAGUUCGGCAUCGACCAACUCACGAGCAGCUGAAGGAAAAUCUGAUUGAGCAUCAGUAGGCGGUUAAAGGGGACCAGUCCGGGUCUUUAAUCUAGAGUGGUUAUAUAUUAUUACCGCAAAGUAGUACUAUGUUGGUGGAUCUUUAAUUAAUUGAUUGACUAAUGUGAUGCAGCUACUUUACUGCAUUGCUUUGACUAUGGCUGGCUCCUCUGGUUUCACUGGAAAAGCAAGUUGUGGUUGGGACGCACAAGUGUGUUGCCGUUGCUAACUACUGGCUAGUCAUGGUGGGGAGUAACUUAGACUAGUCAGAGCAAGUAUAAAAGGAUGCUGUAGGCGGGUUAUAAGACUUUAAAUAUUAUAUUUUUGAUGAGUUGAAGGAGAUAGAAGAGAAACGAGCUACUGAUUAACAGCCGGCUGUAGCACGUGCUCCUAGACAUUAUGUGAGAGAGGAAGAUGGACCAUGUAUCAAUAAAAUAGUACAUAUUUAUAUGUAACUAUUGUACUUGCCGGCUAUAAACUAGACUACAGAUGAUGUGGCAAGAUCAUAUAGCCAACAACUCGCUAUACUAUUAACUAUGCUCUAACAUGCACAAGCACAAGACGCACCCCAUUGUCAUUUGCAACAGCCCUAAAAUAUUAAAAAGAAUAACGUACUAUGAGAUCAACUUAUUUGAUGUGGUCCCACCUUGCAUUUGAAUGUUGCACAACAUUUAACUAAUUCACUCGCCUACUACUCCUAGCCGCUGAAUUUUUCUUCUCUGCAUUGGAUAAGAAUUACCCCUUUUUUAGGACAGGUAAGAAUUAACUUUCCUGUGUAUUCUGCACAACAACAAAUCCUCUUCAAAUAGCAUGAAUAUGCUCCAAUAUUGUAGUACUAUCUGGAAUAAAGAGUAUGCCAUAUGAUACUGUUGGAAGCCUACAGUUGCUGGCUCAACUAGAGGACCGAGUCCCACGUAGUUCAUGCACCGGACGUGCCCUCCUUUUCUGUUACACGAUGUGCAUGGCCUCCUGUAUAGCUGGGUCGUUACCAGCCUCUGUACCUGUAUAUUAACCCCUUCGUGGGCAUCAAUGAGAAUCACCAGUGUAUUCAUUCUCCAUUUUGGUAAUCAGAGCUCUCUUUCCUGUCCCUGUCUCUCAUGGACACUGGCGACAGCUCCGGCGGCCUUUCGAGCGGCGACCUGACGGGCGCCAUCCCUCCCGCUCCCGCUCCGGUGCUCUCCUCUUCUGAACUCUCCACCCCCGUCCUCUCCGCUCCGCCAGCAACCGCCCCUAGCACCAUGAGCUUGGUGACCUUGCCGUCGCCUCCCACCCUCCCUGACAUAGCGUCGUCCUCUGCCACCACCACCCCCUCCAUCCACACCCUCAACAACAUCCACAACCUCAUCCCCUUCAAGCUGGAUGUCCAAACCGGCAGCUAUUCGAAGUGGCGUGAACUCUGGCGCUGCGUCCUCAUCAUGUACGCCGUCGAGAGCCAUGUCAACCACUACUCCGACCCACUGCUCCAAACUCCGGCGUGGCGCCACACCGAUCUGAUGCUCCUGCUUCUGCUCUACUCCACCAUCGUCGACGGCCUGUACGAGGUCAUCCGUGGCGCCGGCAACACCGCGCAUCGCGUCUGGAGCCAACUCCACGAGUUCUUCCUCGCCAACCAACCCGCCCAGGCCGUGCACCUCAACGCGGAAUUCCGCGCCCUCACCCAGGGGGAUCUCCGCAUCGCCGAGUACUGUGGGCGCCUCAAAGCGCUCGUGGACGCCCUGGCCGACGUCAACGAGCCCGUCACCGAUCGCACCCUGACGCUGCAGCUUCUCUGCGGCCUCUCUCGUCGGUACCAGGUGAUCGCCACUGUCAUCCCGAUGCAGACUCCAUUCCCAUCCUUCAACCAGGCCCGUUCCCGUCUUCUUCUGGAGGAAAUCACCUAGGACGCCCGUGAUCGCUCCGACGGAUCUACCGCUCUAGCCAUCAGCCACGGCGGCGGCGGCGGCCAUGGUGGCGGUGGCGGCGGCCACGGCGGCGGUGGAGGCGGCCCUGGCGGCGGGGGCUCUGGUGGCUCCUCCGGCCCACCUCCCUCCUCUAGCGACCGCGGCAAGGCUCCCAUGGAGCGCGGCAACAGCAGCGCCGGUGACCGUGGCCGCGGACACAACGGUGGACGCGGGCGUGGCCGCGAACGCGGGCGCGGCUACAACGGCGAACGCGGUUCGCCUGCUCUUCCUCCCGGCGGCCCCACUCCAUGGAUGGGCUACUUCGUGCCGUGGGGGAUGCCCUUCCAGCCGCCGCGCGCUCCCUGGGUUCCACCCAACGCAGCCGGGGUCCUCGGGCCUCGCCCCGGUGCUGCCCAGCACGCCUACCCCGCGCUGUACACCGGACCCGGCGUGCCCCCCCAACCCUCUUGGGAUCAGGUGGCGCUCUACUCCGCCAUGAACCAGAUGUCUCUCCAGUAGCCCGGCAGUGGCAACGGCGACUGGAUCUUUGAUUCCGGUGCCUCCUCCCACGUCACUGGUAAUGCAGGUAAUCUUGCCACUUCUCGUCCUGUCUCAAAACAGCAUGCUCCCAUCAUCGUUGGCGACGGCACUCGUCUGCCUGUAGUUGCCACCGGCACCGCCUCCAUCCCCACAUCCUCUCGCCCCUUGCUGCUUCAUAACGUUCUCGUAGCACCUGAUAUUGUUCAAAACCUACUCUCUGUCCGUCAACUAUCCACUGAUAAUAAUGUAUCCGUUGAGUUUGACCCCCUCGGCUUUUCUGUGAAGGAUCUAGCCACCCGGACCCCCCUCAUGAGGCGCACUAGUUUUGGGCCUCUCUACCACAGCGGCGCAUCCAGCUCUUCGGCGUUCUACACCAACUCCGGCGACCUGUGGCAUCGCCAUUUGGGGCACCCCGGCAGUGCCUCUCUUUCCCGUUUAGCACACCAUUUUCUUCCCGAUUGUAAUAAACUCCCUGCCGCCUCUGGAUCAUGUGAGGCGUGCCAAUUAGGGAAGCAGUCGCGUCUGCCUUUUUCUUCUUCUACCUCUGUUACUAGUUUUCCUUUUCAGCUUGUACACUGUGAUCUUUGGACGUCUCCUGUCCCUAGUUGCUCUGGCUACAAAUAUUACUUAAUAAUAAUGGAUGAUUUUUCCCACUUCGCAUGGACUUUUCCCCUCCGUGCCAAAUCCGAGGCCACUGACAUUCUCAAACGUUUCUUUCGCUUCGUACCCACACAAUUCCAUGUCUAUAUCCAGAGCGUCCAGUGCGAUAACGGCGGCGAGUUUCUUAACAUCUCUCUCCGCUCUUCUCUAGGUGAACAUGGCACUGCCCUACGCCUCUCCUGCCCGCACACAUCACCACAAAACGGGAAAGCUGAGCGCGCCAUUCGCUCCACAAAUGACAUACUUUGCACACUUCUUGUCCAAGCCAGCAUGCCCCCAAAAUUCUGGGUGGAAGCCCUUCAUACUGCCACAUACCUCCUCGAUAUAUGACCCUCCCGAGCCAUCAACCACAACACCCCAUACUUCAUGCUUUACGGUACUCACCCCAACUACGACCACAUUCGCACAUUUGGCUGUUUGUGCUACCCCAAUCUCUACGCCACCACUCCCCACAAACUUUCCGCACGCUCCACACCCUGCGUUCUCCUCGGCCUACCCCUCGAGCACAAAGGAUGUCGGUGCCUCGACAUCUCCACACGUAAAGUUAUCACCUCCCGACACGUGAUUUUCAACGAGCAUAUUUUUCCCUUCGCCACAGAAAAUCCCACUGCCCCCAGCCCCGUAUCCACCUCGGGAUCCCUCCCACCUACCUGGUCCGAUCCGACAGGAUCGUCCUCGGGAUUCCCCGCCCCAGUCGCCCCACCCCACGCACCCGAUCGCGUCGCUCCCAACCAAUCCGCCCGCUGCGCCCCCACCGCUGCGCCCACUCCCGCUGGCCCACCACUCACCGCCACCACUCUGGUCCCAACUCCCGAACCCCCCCAGUCGGCAGCUAGCUCGCCAUGCAGCCAAUCGCCUGCCCGCUCACCAUGCAGCCAAUCACCUACCCGCUCACCAUGCAGCCAAUCCGCGACAUCCUCGCCAUGCACGUCGCCCCGCGCUCUCGCCCCGCCUCUGGCUGCCUCCCCACCAACCUCCCCGCCUCCCCACCCUCUCCCUCCACGCGCGGUGCCCGUCCUACCACCCAAAAACAGCCACGCCAUGCGCACACGAGCCAAAGCCGGUUUCCUCCAACCAAAAUCCCUCUUCACUCUCGCAGCCACCAACGAUCGCAUCUCUCCUCUCCCUUCCUCCUACAAACACGCCCUCAAAGACCCAAACUGUUACAACGUGAUGCUUGAGGAGUAUACUGCUUUGUUACAAAAUGAGACUUGGUCGUUGGUUUCUCCCCCUGCAGGUGUCAACGUGGUGACGGGGAAAUGGAUCUUUCGCCACAAGCUGAACCCCGACGGCUCCCUCGCUCGGUACAAGGCGCGGUGGGUCCUGUGUGGCUUCACUCAACAACACGGCGUCGACUUCGAGAAGACCUUCAGCCCCGUCGUCAAGCCGGCGACCAUCCGUGUCGUCCUCAGCCUCGCCGUCUCCGCCGGCUGGGCCAUCCAUUAGCUGGAUGUGAAGAAUGCAUUUCUUCACGGCCACCUCGACAUCGUCGUCUACAGCCAGCAGCCGUCCGGGUUCGUCGACGCUGCGCACCCGUCUCACGUGUGCCGCCUGCAUCGCUCACUCUACGGGCUCAAGCAGGCCCCCCGGACAUGGUUUCAGCGCUUCACCACCUACCUUGCGCGUCUCGGCUUCGUUGCAUCCAAGAGUGACAACUCUCUCUUCAUUCUUCAUCGCGACGGCGCCACCGCUUAUCUCCUCUUAUACGUCAAUGACAUUAUCCUCACUGCCAGCUCCGCCUCCCUGCUCCACCAUGUCAUCUCCCAACUCCACCAUGAGUUUUCCAUGACUGACCUCGGCGAGCUCCAUCAUUUCCUGGGGAUCAAUGUCACACGCAGCUCCCGCGCCCGCAUGAGCAAUUGCAAGCCCAUCGCCACCCCCAUCGACACUCGCGCAAAACUUUCCGCCACCGAUGGUGCUCCUGUUUCUGACCCGUCCCUCUACCGCAGCUUGGUCGGCGCUCUACAAUAUCUCACUCUCACACGACCCGAUAUCACCUACGCUGUUCAACAGGUCUGCCUCUUCAUGCAUGAUCCCCGGGAGCCGCACUUCACCAUCCUCAAACGCAUCUUGCGCUACAUCCGCGGUACCCCGCAGCUCGGCCUUCACCUCCGGCGCUCCUCCGACCACCGCCUCGUCGCCUACUCUGAUGCCGACCGGGCGGGUUGUCCUGACACCCGCAAGUCCACGUCGGGCUACUGCAUCUUCAUCGGCGACAACCUCGUCUCUUGGUCCUCCAAGCAGCAACAGACCGUCUCCCGGUCCAGCGCGGAGGUGGAAUACAGGGCGGUGGCCAAUGCUGUGGCCGAGGCGUGCUGGCUGCGUCAACUUCUGCACGAGCUGCGGCGUCCUCCGGAUCGGGCAACGAUCGUCUACUGCGACAACGUGAGCGCCAUGUACCUCUCCACCAACCCUGUGCAGCAUCAGCGCACGAAACAUAUCGAGAUCGAUCUUCAUUUCGUGCGUAAGCGGGUUGCUUUUGGCGAUGUACGCGUCCUCCACGUCCCGUCUGCGUCGCAGUUCGCCGAUAUCUUCACGAAGGGGUUGCCAUCGACCGUCUUCCUCGACUUCCGGUCCAGCCUCAACGUGCUCGAGGACCCCGUUGUGGCUGCGGGGGGCUGUUGGAAGCCUACCGUUGCUGGCUCAACUAGAGGACCGAGUCCCACAUAGUUCAUGCACCGGACGUGCCCUCCUUUUCUGUUACACGAUGUGCAUGGCCUCCUGUAUAGUUGGGUCGUUACCAGCCUCUGUACCUGUAUAUUAACCCCUUCGUGGGCAUCAAUGAGAAUCACCAGUGUAUUCAUUCUCCAUCUCUACUAACAACAAGUCUAGGGCCGGGAGCCUCUUGAACACAACCCUACAUACCAGNNNNNNNNNNNNNNNNNNNNNNNNNNNNNNNNNNNNNNNNNNNNNNNNNNNNNNNNNNNNNNNNNNNNNNNNNNNNNNNNNNNNNNNNNNNNNNNNNNNNNNNNNNNNNNNNNNNNNNNNNNNNNNNNNNNNNNNNNNNNNNNNNNNNNNNNNNNNNNNNNNNNNNNNNNNNNNNNNNNNNNNNNNNNNNNNNNNNNNNNNNNNNNNNNNNNNNNNNNNNNNNNNNNNNNNNNNNNNNNNNNNNNNNNNNNNNNNNNNNNNNNNNNNNNNNNNNNNNNNNNNNNNNNNNNNNNNNNNNNNNNNNNNNNNNNNNNNNNNNNNNNNNNNNNNNNNNNNNNNNNNNNNNNNNNNNNNNNNNNNNNNNNNNNNNNNNNNNNNNNNNNNNNNNNNAAAAUAGUCAAAUAUUAUCCCUAUAACCCCCUCUAUUAAAUAGGCAACGUGAUUGGGGUUCAUUAGGACUUCCUCCAAUUUCUUAAUUGAUCGCUGCAUUAAUUUCCAUUGCUUUAUUGGGAGGGUCUGGACACUUUUUUGCUUUUAGAGAUGGGGGUCUGGACACUUGAUCAGAUAUCUAACACAUGCACCCAUUGGAAAGAUAUCUAAGCUAGAUACUCCCUCCAGUUCACAAAAGAUGGCGUUUUGGAGACUCCUAAGGUCUUUAAAUAUGUAACUUUGACCGGUCUUUUCUACUUAUCAUAUAUGUAUAACGAUAAAAUUAUCAGAAAAUACUUGUUGACACAAAUUUGUGCAUAUUGUUUUCCAAGUUUGCCAAGGGUGUUGAGAAGAGGCCAGACCCCCUACACUCAAUUUUGAAGAGACACUAAUUUGUUAGUUAUGUUUCUACAUUGAACAUACUUAUGAAUUAUUCGUCCACUCGAAACCGAAUAACAAUGCAUGAUUUCCUCUCUUUCCCCUCAUAUAGCCAAAUCCUGCCUCACCCCAGCAUAUCAAUCAAUUAAACAUGUGCAUAGCCUGGGCGUAGCCAUGUUUCGGGUUGAGAUUUGUAAUUCUGUCCAAAAAUGUCUAGCUCAGGCCCAAUUUAGCCUACACCAAAGCCAAGACAAAUACAUAUUUUGAAUUUAAAAUGUUAAAUAAAUCUAUUUUGGAUAGUAAUUAAGCAUUAUAUCUACUAGAAAACACACUGCUCUUGGGUUGUGGAUGCCCAGGUUUACAAUCAACUCGUUCAUUAGUCCCUCUGUUUCAUAUUACUUCACAUAUUAGUUUUAUCUUAGAUCAAACUUUGUGAAGUUUGAGCAAAUUAAUAGACAAAAUAUCAGUAUGGACCCGAGUGUAUUAUAUUAUAUUUUUCAUGGUUGAUGUUACAUACGUUAUCACCUACUAUAUCCCAGCCCAUGAUGUAGGUAGUAGUUAGACGGACAAAGUUAGGAGUUAGACUUCAAACCAUUGCAUGGUUCAUGAUAAUCGACAUGUUAAUUUGUCUCGUUCAACCCGCAAACACACUGGAGUCGAAACUGCUUCAUAGACGACACUUUGAUGGACGAUGCCAAGACGAUGGUUAAUCCAACGGGCAGGGGCUGCUUAGGCUUGGGCUUGAAUGGUUGGAUAUGCAUGUCGUUUGUGUUUCGUGUAGUAACCGUCGUGUGUGAAGCAGUGCUCCACUGGAGUACUACUACAGUAGCAGCAUGGACCGGUCAUAUUGAUUCAUUUCUAGACCGCGUCAAAGAUGAAUAAAAAUACAACUCUCCUGCUACGAUCUGGUCCCAGGUUGCAUUGAACUAGUCGCAGCUAACCUUGAAAAGGUUAACCAACCAAUUCUCCCCGCUUGUACCCCAGUCACUGAAUUAUCCUUCAAUGCAUUGGGUAAGAGGUUCUCUGUAAAUUUGUACUCCUGCAUAAUUUAUCCUUCCACUGUUCAUCACUAGGUACUUCUUGACCUACUGAGGAAAUUUUCAUACAAACAGGUCAAAAGAGAAAUAAAACGGUAUUCAAAUGGGUGGCACAAAUGCCACCAACCCAACACCGAGCAUACAUGAAACGUCACCUGUAACUAGAUACAACCGAGACUAGAGCCACACCACCUUGAGAAAUCACCGGACACCGAAGUAUCGAACACGCCGAGUCGUCUCUGAAGGGGGCGACUCGCCAUUGAGACCACCCCUCGCUUCGUGCCGUGGAGCAACGAUCCUGCCAUGAGAUAGCAAGGAUCAAGAACCGAUACCACGGGGACACGUGCACUUGUCCACCUACUUUGAUAGAUGGAUGAUUAGUCCUUGUAUUAUACAGCUCACCAAACAUCCCCCAUGAGGAAACAUGUUACUAUUUAAUUUUGCAUGUUCUUUGCUUCGUGUUGUUUGUCAAGGACACACUAGCUUAUGCAUUAUCCAAACAGUCAGGAAAUCGGUAUUGGUGAAUUUUUGUACUAUUCUGAUGCUCAUCAGUACUUGUUGACCUACCCCUUUCUGGUUUAUAGGGUUUAUCUCAAAAUUUUAGUUUUCCGUUUAUAAGACUCCUUUUAGUUGUUCUCCAUCACAUGUUCAAAUUCUAAGGUACAUUAAAUCAUUGCAUGCAAGUAUUAAGAGAAAAUUGACCAAUGCAUGUACUUUAUGCAUGCAUGCAUUGCAAGUAAGGCUAGUCAUAGUGGGAGUAACUUAGGUAGUAACAUAGCGCACUUUAAAAAAAAUUGCUUAUGUGGCAUGUAGUUAAUAAGGAGAGAAGUGCUUAGAGUAACAUAAUAUGUUACUGUAACAUAGCACUUCCCGAAAAAGGAUGAGUCUACAAGCUAAUAAAUGAAGACAUCUAUGACACUACUACUUUGUUACUUUGCACUAUGAAGGUAGUAACUUAGACUAGUGUCAUAUGUAUGACACUACUCCCUCCUUCCAUCUAUAUAGGGCCUAAUGUGUUUUUUAAGACCGCCUUUGACUAUUGACAAGAUUAAUAGUACAUGACAUGCACAAUGUGAAAAUUAUAUCAUUGAAAGCUCCUUUCACAUACGAAUUUAACGGUGUGCUUUGUGUAAGUUGCAUGUCAUAUAUUAUUGCUCUAAUAUUUGGUCAAAGUUAGCCUCAAAAAACGCAUUAGGCCCUAUAUAGAUGGAAAAAGGGAGUAGUAUAAGUUACUCUCCACUAUGACCAGCCUAAUGCAUUGUUAAACACAUUUUUUUUUAAAAACAAGCGCAUUAAUUGAGUGUUUUUGCAGUACAGAAAUUAUUUCACCACUCACGCAUUAAUUGAGUACUAGGCGACUCAAUUUGAACCAGGGCAAGCAAGCAAAAGUAGGUACGGUAGUAUUAAUCCUUGCAUUAUUAUUUAGCUGACCAAACACCUCCCAUCAGAAAAUAUAUUAUGUGCUUCUCAUUGGUUGUCAAGGACACGCUAGCUUUUCUGCAUUAUCCAGAAAAAGAUGAAAAUUAAUAAAUAACAUGUGUUGGUAAAUCUUCAGAGUGCCCCUACUCUUUUUUUCCUCCUAAUGUUCAGUACUACCUCCGUCUAGGUGAAUAAGUCAUUUGCGUAGUUCUAGGUCAUCGAUUUAAGCAAUUAAAUAUGUGUUAUAUGUCAUGAAAAGUAUAUCACUAGAUUUCUACACGAAUGUAGUUUCUAAAUAUAUAUUUUUUGUCGCAUAUAAUACAUAUUUAGAUAGUUAAAUCGUCAACCUAGAACUACGCGAAUGACUUAUUCACCGAGAUGGAGGUAGUACUUGUUGACCUACUGGAGCUGGACGACUCGCCUGAGAGUCUUACUUGUCCACACUUGUCUGGCCAAAAUCUCCAACUAAUCAGAAUAUAGGCUGAAAAAUCAUAAAUAAAAACCCAGUCCAACCUUAGUAAUAACCCAUGUUGGUGAAUCCAUAGUAUUUAUGAUAAAUAUAGGACCCCUUUUGCCUGGGGGAUGGUAUUUGCGAAUGUUUUUUAUGACAAAUCCUUCAUAGCACACACGGUAAUUUCUUUAGAAAAACAUGGCAAGCCUGUCAAACAAAAUGAUUUUGCUGUGAAGAUUGUUGCGUUCGCUUGAAGGAAUUGUCAUAUUGCUGCAAUAUAAAAUGCCACGAAAAACGUUCGUUCUGCCAUAUCUCCGUAAAUAUAUUAGCAGUACUGCAAAAAGUAGUACUAGAGUGUUGGUGGAACUUUAAUUAACUAACUAACUAGUGUGCUGUUCUAAAAAAAAAAAAAAACUAUGUGCUGCUGCUACUUUACUGCAUUACUUUGACUAUGGCGCUCACCUCCGGUUUCGCUGGAAAAGCAGGUUGUGGUUGGGAAGCACAAGCGUGUUGCCCUUGCUAAUUACGUGCACUCAAUAGCGAGCCAGCCACCCCUGUCCUGUGUGUAGCUCGUAGACUUAAAAAGUCCCUAGUCUCUAAAAAGUUUCUUUCUGUUUGUUUUCAGAGACUAAAAAAUCCCUAGUCCCUUCAUAAAGGUUAUUAAAUGACCAUCUUGCCCCUAGUAUAUAGAAAAAUAACAAUUAAACAACAUCAUGGGGUGGUGGGUCAAUGGGUGCAUGGAGGGACAUUGUUGGAAAAGUCUCAAAAAGUCUUAAAAAGACUCUUCUUGAGAGUCUUCUUCAUUUAGUCACAAAUGCCUAGUUUAGUCCCUAAAAAGUCCCUACCGUUUGGUAAAAAAGUUUUUAAGAGGGAUUUUUUUUAGUCCCUACACAAAAAAGUCCCUGAAAACAAACACCCACUACGCCACCCUCAACACCUUGCUGGCCGGCCCUGCGCGUGUAUAAGUAGUGGGUGCCGGAGCACACAAGCCUCACACACCAAGCACACGCCUCUCUUCCUCCUCCAUCUCUCAUUCCCUGGUCUCUGUCCUCUCCUCCCGAGCUUCACAGUUCACACACACACAAAACCAAGGCAAGAUGGUGGGCACGCUGGAUGAGGGGAAGAUCAUCGAGUACUUCAGGAACAAGAGCGUCCUCAUCACCGGAGCCACGGGCUUCCUUGGCAAGAGUAAGUAGGCAUGCUGAUGAUGAUCUAUGCAUGUCUUGCUAUUUUCUGAGGAACAGUUCAUGCAUCCAUCCUGAGAGUCCUUGGUGUUGCGUUGUGUGCUCAUUCGUCGACCUGUGCAGUAAUGGUGGAGAAGAUCCUGAGGGUCCAGCCGGACGUGAAGAGGAUCUACCUGCCGGUGCGGGCGGCCGACGCCGCGGCGGCGAGGCGCCGGGUGGAGACCGAGGUGCGUGCCUGUCUGCCCGUCCAUCAUGCCCCAUCAUCAUGUUGAUCCUUGCACCCCCUCCCUCAAUCUCUCUCUCAGUACUCCUCUCAAUACUCCUCUGUUCUAGAGAUUAGAGUAGUAGACAAGGAUACAUGCCGGUAGCAUGGUUCUUGGUAAGAUCAUGCUGCAAGGAACACAUGCGAGUUCUCUCUCAGACAGAGAAGCCCCCAAGCUGCUCCCCUGUGUCUCUUCAUUCUGUUUCAUACUUACAACUCUCUUUUUUUUCCAUUUAUAAUUAAUACUGUACUAUAAUACUAGUAACAUUAUGUGGCGCAUCGGAACAAAACAUGCAUAGAUAUCACAAAUUCAUCACAGAAUCAUAGAUAGUCCAGCUGCCCGCUGCUACUAUCUGUGAUGCAAACAUGAACAUGUGUAGAAUAAUUAUCUUAUAGGUAUAAACCGGGAUUAGAUAGGGCUAGGUGCACACUGCUGGGUGGCAUUCCUGCCGAACAUUCGGGUCGGUCACAUGCCAUUUUUUCUUCUCUUUCUGAGGUUGAGAGUCACAUGUCAUACUCUGCAUGAGAGGUGGCCAUGAAUAAUCUCAGCCGUACACCGCUCAUUCUUCUCUAGAUACUAGGUAAAUGCACAAAUAUUCUGCCAGCUUUUGGUAUGGCAGGAUUAAUUUGAACAAGAAACCAGACACUAGUAGGAGUAUGGUUGGCAAAAAUUUCAACAUUUUCAUUCAUGCCCGAUCUUGGAAACCGGAAACCUGGGGAAAACCCGCGGCCGGAUGAUAAAUAAACCGGCGGCGAAGUAGCGGAGCUGAGUGUAUUCCUAGGAGUCGUAUGAGGAGUUAUUGUGUGGGUAGGCCGGUAGGUUUGGUCAGGUCGACUCGACUCAGAAGUUUUCAAUGGCCUCUGCCGCAUGCAGUGCACAACUGGUACUGCACCACCACCUAGCUAGCCGGCCAGUGUGCAGCCUGCAUGCAUGCAUGGCUGGCUGGCUGGUGCUUGGAAAUGACGAGGGCAGGGCACCAUCUGGCACUGGCACCACUUACUACAGCUUCGUCAACUUGAGAAUUCAGAAUUCAGAGUGCACUGCAAGUCUGCAAUAAUGUUUUGGUUGCCUGAUUGCAUCAAAUUCUAACUAAACCUAGCAUGUUCAACAAUAAUAAACAUAAAUAAAUGCAAUAAUGUUUUGGUUACCUAAUUACGUUCUAUUAUUGCGUCUGCAAAAAAGAAAAGAGUGUAAUCUACUCUAGCUGGUGUAGUUAUUGAGUAGUGCCAAGAAGAUCCAGAGCAGAGACAAUGGGCAGUACGCUUGGUCCUCCACCUUACUCCUACUCCAUCUAGCAAGCCGGAAAAACACGCUUCCAGUACGCCUGGCCCCUCUUCAUUUCUUCAUAUGCAUUCACUGAUCCUUCAUUGUAUAGGUGUGGGCAAUUUACAGUUGCAGACAGUUGCACGGGUCGAUUGUCCUGCCCUGCAGAAGCAAUUUAUAGUUUUUACCAAAAGUUACCGAGAUACCAUGCGGGGUGGUGGAUCCACAGUGCAUGCAUGCAUGUAUCAAACACGGAUUGCAAAUGAAGAAUUAUUGAUCGAGAUCGACGUGGUUCGCAGGUGGUGGGGAAGGAGCUGUUCGGGAUGCUGCGGGAGCGGCACGGCGCCGGGUUCGAUGCCUUCGUCGCAGACAAGGUGGUGGGGCUGGCCGGCGACGUAAUGCGCGAGGGCUUCGGCGUUGACCCCGCCACGCUGCGGGAGCUCCGGCUCGCCGACGAGCUCAACGUCAUUGUCAACGGGGCCGCCACAACCAACUUCUACGAAAGGUACAGUGCUAUUUACUGUUUAACUCGUCAGAGAAAAAAAUUCAGCGGGAGAACGUGCAUUCCUGCAUCUUCUUCUCUGGAGUAGUGAGUUCAUCAAUGACCUCUGAAACUAACUGUGCAACGUACGUGCACGGACGUGUGUGUGCUCAGGUACGACGUGGCCCUGGACGUGAACGUGGUGGGGGUGAAGCACAUGUGCGACUUCGCCCGGAAAUGCCCCAACCUCGAGGUGCUCAUGCACGUCUCCACGGCCUACGUCGCCGGCGAGAAGCAGGGGCUGGUGUCGGAGAGGCCGUUCAGGGACGGCGAGACGCUGCGGGAGGAUGGCACCCGCCUUGACAUGGACGCCGAGCUGAGGCUCGCCAGGGAACUCAGGAAGCAGAUGGAGGCCGACGACGAUGUGGACCCCAAGGCCCAGAGGAAGGCCAUGAAGGACCUCGGCCUCACCAGGUUAGGAAGCAUAUUUCCCUUUGAAAGUUUCUCCUACUAUGUGAAAUUCAAGUUCAAUACCAGAGGUUUUUUUUUGUGAAACUUGGAACUGAAAUUCAGAAAUGGGAUUAAUUUUGGAAUUCUGGUGUGUGCAGGGCCCGGCACUUUGGGUGGCCCAACACGUACGUGUUCACCAAGUCCAUGGGGGAGAUGAUGCUGGCCCAGAUGAUGCGCGGGGACGACGUGCCGGUGGUCAUCGUCCGGCCCAGCAUCAUCACCAGCGUGCAAAACGACCCACUGCCAGGAUGGAUCGAAGGCACCAGGUUCGUUCUAACUCUUCCCAUCCAAAUUCAAAUGCCAAGUUUCAAAUUCAUAUUCUGACAUCGAAUAUGAAAACCCCAGGACGAUCGACGCGAUCCUGAUCGGGUACGCAAAACAGAGCCUGUCGUGCUUCCUCGCCGACCUCGACCUAACCAUGGACGUGGUAAUUGCUUCACUCACUGUUAGUUCAUUCAGCAAAUGCAGAGCUACCAGUGCUACCAUCUUCUUGCGAACGUGCUGCAGUAAUGAGUAAUAAGUAUACUAGUACAGUGUGUGACCAUGCUGCAGUAAGUUGCAUCUGAAGCGUCUGUGCCAACAAGGCCAAGUGGCUGCUGCAGUGCAUCAACCAACCUUAGCUGUACUUGGCUGCGUGCAGUUACUAUCUGAAUCUUGCCUGUUACAGCAAGGUUACAUAUGCUGCUAAUGGAUUAUCACAGUUUCUAACCCAAAUGCGCAACUAUGGUGUAUGCAGAUGCCCGGCGAUAUGGUGGUGAACGCGAUGAUGGCGGCCACGGUGGCGCACGCCUCCUCCACUCGGCCAUCAGAGCCAGAGAAGAAGCCGCCUCCGCAGCAGCAGCACCCUCACUCGGUGCCGGCAGCGCCAACGGUGUACCACGUGAGCUCGUCGCUGCGGCACCCAGCUCCGUACGCGGUGUUGUACCGGACAGGGAUCCGGUACUUCGAGGAGCACCCACGGGUGGGGCCUGACGGCCGCACCGUGCGCACCCGCAAGGUGCGGUUCCUUGGCAGCAUCGCGGCGUUCCACCUUUUCAUGGUGCUCAAGUACCGUGUUCCCCUCGAGCUCCUCCGCCUGCUUUCCAUCCUCUGUUGCGGCCUCUUCGGCCUUGCUGCCCUUUACCACGACCUCGCCCGCAAGUACAGGUAUUUUCUCUGUCUGGAAUUAGCUGACGCUCAAACGGAUGUAUCUACAGGGAGUGUAAUUUAAACAUGUUUGCAGUUGUAUGGUCUUGAUAUUAUACCAUUGGCUUAAGAACAUGCAUUGUGCAGGUUCGUGAUGCAGCUGGUGGACCUGUACGGGCCCUUCUCGCUCUUCAAGGGUUGUUUCGAUGAUGUCAACCUCAACAAGCUUAGGCUCGCCAUGGCCGACGGUGACCAUGCCGAUGCCACCGGCUGUCUAUUCAACUUUGACCCCAAGACCGUUGACUGGGACGACUACUUCUUCAAGGUCCACAUCCCUGGUGUCAUGAAGUACGUCCUCAAGUGAUGCACAUUUGCUCCGAUCUGCUUCCACAUACCUACCAAGAAAGAAUGGAGGAAAUCAAAUGAAUGCUAGUCUGUGUCCACCAUGUGUAAUCUCGUUCUUAAGUCUGCGGUAUUAUUGUAUGAGUAUUGAUUGUACUGCCAUUGGAAAUUUAACCAAUGACUAUGAGUAUAAGAUAAAAUUACUUGCAUUCUAGCCGGGGCCUCUGAAAUGACAAGGUUCCUAUGGAAUUAUGUUGGGAAUUUUCUACUUUUCACAGUACUACCAAAAAA